Molecule: long non-coding RNA, 2256 nt
Organism: Neopelma chrysocephalum (saffron-crested tyrant-manakin)
Lineage: Eukaryota; Metazoa; Chordata; Aves; Passeriformes; Pipridae
Exons: 5
Source: RefSeq, a predicted model, not a curated record
CAGCUUAGUAUAAGAGUGGUACAGGUGACAAUCGCAUUCCUGACCAAAAUCAGGUACCAGUCCCUGUACCAUAAAUUGUUACAGGUCCUUCUUUUCCUUCAAUAGAGGCAAAAGGAAAAUGGAUAAAUUGCACAGACUUGUAUCCCUUCUUCUGAAUUGAAAACAAAUCACUUUUCAGUGAAACUCCAAAGGUAGUGAGGAUCUGCACAAGACAAGGAACAGUAUCUUCAGUAAUUUCUGGGGAACUGCAUGGAGCAUGGAGGCUGGAUGCUGUUACUUCUGGUGCAUGUCCUCCCUACUGCUUUGUGCAGAGGGCAGAACUACAUUUGCAGCCCAGUAUCUCAUUUUUAUUCUACGUGGUUCUAAGUGUAUAUAUAGGUGCAUCUCUACACAAAAGAAGGCAAUGCUAAUGAAAGACGUACAAUGGGAAGAGGUACAGCUUUUAAGGCUGUAGUUUCCCCUGAGCAGCAUCCAAGAAAGUUGUCUACUGCACACAUGAGCUUUGAUAGAAAGGCCCGUUGUGCCUGAGGAACAGAGCUGUCAAAAGGGGUUUCCAUCUCUAUGCCAAGAUGCUUGUUACCCUUCUCCUGUCAGAGCCCAGCAGUUGGUAGUUUUCCAUCUCUAGAAAUCCAGGGGAACUCUCCACCUUGGGGAACAAGAAACUGGAGAAAAGUCAAUAGACCAGACAAGGUUCGUACCACAUUUAUUCAAGGAAAGAAAUAAAAAGAGUACCAUAAUUACAUUUUAACUACAUUUUACUCUCAGCAGCAUCCCAUAAAUCAUGUACCUUGUUAGUGCUGUGGCAUAGCAUAUGAUGCUGGAAGUCAGCACACAGUAAAUACGUUGACAGUAAGUGCAGUAAAUACUGUUCACUAGUUGGCUUUGGCCAUCUUGGGCAGUGUGUCUUGCUGAAGUCAUGGCAGGUGAUGGAUUUUUGCCCCCUUGGUCUGUUUUGUCUAUUUUUGGUGAAGAGAAGGUGAGCAGGCAUUCUGCAAUCUCUGACACCAAGCUGGAAUAUGGCACAACUGAGGACACAAGGAUGUACGAGCAAUGUCACCUCUUAUCUGCAGUGGCAAAUGACAAAUUUGUGUCCUGUAUGAGACAAUGAGAACUCAUUAAGAGAAAAGAUGCAAACCACAAGGAAAAAUCCUGUAGGUGGGAGAUGAGAGGGCAGACGAUAUGCACUGGGUGGCAAUCCAUUUGAACAGCAUCGAAAGAUGAUGUGAGAAAGCCCUUCAAUGCAAUGCUGCAAGCGAAAAAUGCCACAUCUACAUUUGUAAACACCUUCAGCAGACAAAUACAGCCAAUGCAUUGAGCUAAGUAGGCUCCAGCAAGUGAGCUGUAACAGUCUGCAUUGUUUCUGUGCUUGGGGAGGGGGGACGUGAGUGGAUUCAGAGCUGCAUGGUUGCCCUAUACUGUAAUGUACCCUACCCAGUACUGUAGCCUUUUGUGUAAAAGGAUGAGCUAACCAGUUGUUUUGCAAAGGGGGGGCCCGUUUGCACCACAGCAGCAAGUCAGAGCAGCUCCCAGGCAGCCAUGGUGGCAGUGGGCUGAGGGUGCAUUGAUGGAGGGAUGCUGUAACAGAUAGCCCCUGCUUCUGAGCUUUCAGCCUCAACCCUAUCACAUGCACACAUCUUACAGAAACUUGAAAAGCUUGACACAGAGAGAGGCAAGGGAGUGAGGCAGCACUCUCUGAGCAUGGCAUGAUGCAUUGCUGCUUGUUCCAGGGAAGGGUAUGGCUGCUCUGCACGGCUGUCACCAAGAUCCUGUUCUUUAUUGAAAAGAGCAACCCUGAGGUCUGGAAAAAAACCCAUCUCUGAUGCACCCCUUCAUUUUCCAAAAAGCAGGAUCCUGGUGACUUGGCGGAGUGGCUAAGUUCUAAUUGAGAAGAGGCUACCAAAAACUCACAGGCAAAACCAAUUGUUGAGAUAAACAUGGGGAAAACCCCACAAAACCAAAACAAAGCACAAUUGCUUCAAGCCUCCCAAAUUUCUAUUUAAUUCAGAAAACAAAUUAACUCUAACCUCCUAUCUGCAGUGCCUCUGCAGGGAAACCACAGUGGGAGGAGUCCCAGUUUACACACAAUCUGGAGAGAGGGAGGAAAUCCAAGGACUAAACGGGAGGAGAAGAAAACAUGCUUGGACAAUGUGCUGCACACUGGUGGGACUGUCCCUGACACCAUAGUGAUGGACGUGAUCUAGUAACAGAGACAGAUGACCCAGUAGCUGAAUGACUGAUCAUCUCCCUUGGAACACA